Molecule: ribosomal RNA, 493 nt
Filed under: Habroloma subbicorne
Lineage: Eukaryota; Metazoa; Arthropoda; Insecta; Coleoptera; Buprestidae
Description: partial 16S ribosomal RNA
Rfam family: Bacterial large subunit ribosomal RNA (bases 358-493)
Source: RNAcentral
GUCUAAUCUGCCCAAUGAUAUUUUAAAUGGCCGCGAUAUUUUGAUCGUGCGAAGGUAGCAUAAUCAUUAGUUUUUUAAUUGAAAGCUGGAAUGAAGGAUUGAACAAGAAAAUUUCUGUCUCUAUUAUAUUUUUAGAAUUUUAUUUUUAAGUCAGAAAGCUUAAAUAAUAUUAAAAGACGAGAAGACCCUAUAGAGUUUAACUUUUUAAUAAAAUUAUUAUUUUUGUUUUAUAAUUUUUAAUUUUAAAUAAAGGUUUAGUUGGGGUGACGGAAAAAUUUAGUAAACUUUUUUUUAAUAAAAUAUUUUUUGAUAGAUGGAUGAUUUACUUUUGUAAUUAUAAGAUAAAAUUACCUUAGGGAUAACAGCGUUAUUUUUUUUAGAGUUCUUAUCGAAAAUAAAAAUUGCGACCUCGAUGUUGGAUUAAAAUUUAUUUGUGGUGGAGAAGCUACAGAAUUUAGUCUGUUCGACUAUUAAAAUUUUACAUGAUCUGAGU